Molecule: long non-coding RNA, 1829 nt
Organism: Dromaius novaehollandiae (emu)
Lineage: Eukaryota; Metazoa; Chordata; Aves; Casuariiformes; Dromaiidae
Exons: 4
Source: RefSeq, a predicted model, not a curated record
CCUGUGAUUUGAAGUCUGCCUGUUCAGAUUCCUGUAACCAACUGGACCAGCCUUCCUCUCCCACUUUGCAACAUGUGCCCAUUACUGAAUCAAAGCUCCAGGAUGUAUCCCAAUUUGAUCUGGAUACACAGCUCUUAGCAAAUAUGAAGGCUAUAUCCACAAGAUUUUUUAUGAUGCCCAUCCGUGAGUAUACAUGUGACUAUAUACCAAGAGAAGCAAGUGCCUGAGACCUGAAACACCAUUGCGAUUAUUAAAGGAUUCAUGUUUUAACAGUGAACCACAACCUGACAGCACCAGUCUGUUACUAAGAAGGAAGUGGUACAGUACAGAAGGAUCUAAAAGGGAAGGUGCCCUACUGUCUGUAAUAUAAACACAGAAGAACGGAAAAGAAAACACUUAAAGAAAGGUGUCAUGCUGAAGUGGACUCAUACCAAAUACGUAAGUUAAUAGAUCAUACAUCUUCAAAUCUACCACAUUCAGGGAUAUUGAGGGGAGAGCCAUAGUAAUAUACUUUUCUGGAUGUAAACACUGGACAGCAUGAACCGGUUUCUUGGAACUGAUAAGACAGCUUCAAGGAAGAGAUAAAUCCAGGUUAUCAUUUUAAUUUGAUGUCACCUACACCCAAACCACAGUGUGACAAAAUUGUAUGGAAUUAUUGGAAAUAAUCAGUCAUCAGCAAUGACAAUGUAUACCUAUACUGGUGCAAUAAUAGAAAUCUGUACAGGAUCAAGCUUCUAAGGAGAAAGACAGGCCUUGUUCCUAUGCAGAUGAGCAAAUUAAAAACAAUAGUGUAACUAGCAAAUAUAUAAAUGAAUAUUAUAUUCUGGCUUUGUAGCUGGCAUUCAGACACAGUGAGUUGGGCACUGCUGUUUACUCUCUUGAAUUGGUCAGCACCACUUUUGUCAACUUGUAACUGAAAAAUAACUCAAAUGCCCAGAGUUUGGGCUCUCCGAUAUCUUUCUAGUUCCAACGACAGUACUUUAUCUAAAUAAAGAGCAGAGAAUAUACUCCAGAAUAUCAAAGAGAAAUAGCUCCCUAGAUUGCAGUGUAGAUAUUGUCUGUGGAUGUAUAGCUUCAAACACUGUCCAAAAUUUUUAGACAGGAGCAAUGGUAUUUCUGAAUAUAUAGUGGCUGGAUAAAUUUAUCUAAGACCUGUAUAGAGUGAAGAAAAGCUACAAAAAAAAGGCACAUAGAGAUGAAGCAUUACCAAUAUUCUUCUGUAGCUUAAGAAGGCUUAACUUAGAGCCUUUGGUUUAACUGGGUGUCCCGAUCCAGUAUCAGGGGGGUUUCGUUACCAUCCCAAGGACGAGAUUAAGACGCUAAAACCAGUCAAAUAUCGUACAACCUUUUAACUUUAUUUUCCACAAAGUGGGGAGAAAAGGUGGGGAAAGGUGAAGGGGAGGAGAGAGAGAAAAAGAGAGAGAGAGAGAGAGAGAAAGGGAUAUCACCACACGUGGAUCCAGCGGCGUCCUGUUGGUCCUCUUCACCCUGGGUGUAAAUUUUAGCGAUGCGCGUGCAGUAAUUACAACUCAAGCAGGGUCUGACCCCAGGUUCCCACUGAAAAGUUCGGAGCCAAAUCAAGGCAAAUUAAAUAAAUAAAUUGUAAUGACACGCGUGCAGUAGUUACAGCUCGAGUUGGGUGCCUCCAAAGAGGGACCCCGAACAAAGAAAUCCCUGGGCAAUUAUACUUUCCAAUCUAAGCUCUCCGCUCUUCACGCAGUAGUUUGGACCAAUAGUAAUAUUUAGGUCUGGGGUCUCCUGCUCCUUAUUGGGUCCCUAGGUAGGUUGUUUACCGUUGUGGUUUCUGCUGACAGAUGCGUUUUCAUUCU